GUGAAAUCAGAGAUGAAAGCUGCGUGACAGUUGAGUUAAACUCACCGAGGAAGCAGACACGGCUCCACAGCUUCAUGGUGGUGAUGAAUUUACUUUUCUCUCUCUCUCCUACUCACUGAGAUUUUAGCCACUUAAAGUUGACGUAUGACCAUCAGCAGGACUGGAUUCUCCCCAAAACUGUCAUGGUCCGCGGCCCGGCGUCCGGGGUGCUGCUGGGAUGUCCACGCCCACGAGCGUGGCUGCUAACCCCACACCUGCAUCCCAUCCCAGGUGAUCAUCAGGUGGACUAUUUAAUCCUUCCCUACCUGCUGCUCCACGCCAGUCCGUAGUCGCCUCUCAGCGAUCACAACUCGGCGUGUUUUUGUUUACGAGCCACCUGCCUGUCCACCUGUCCGCCUGAGAUUUGGUUCACCAUCAGCUUCGCCGUCUCGACCCCUUUUGGAGCUCCACCCCCCUCUGGUUCACUCGGCCCGGCUAUCACC
Long non-coding RNA from Astatotilapia calliptera (eastern happy), 482 nucleotides. NCBI's taxonomy places the organism in Eukaryota, Metazoa, Chordata, Actinopteri, Cichliformes, Cichlidae. The record is from Ensembl.